RNAcentral lists this long non-coding RNA (36288 nucleotides) under Vitis vinifera (wine grape). Its description in RNAcentral is "long non-coding RNA (VVIN_LNC001232)". The record is from RNAcentral. Lineage: Eukaryota; Viridiplantae; Streptophyta; Magnoliopsida; Vitales; Vitaceae.
GGCUGAGAAGGUAAAAGAAGAAUAUAAUUUGAAGCAUAUCCAAGUGUGAUGUAGACAUGGUAGGGAAAAACCAGCGUGGGAAAGGGUAUUUGGAAGGAGAAACCAGUGGGUGCAUGAAAACAAGUGGCAGAAAACUAGGGGGGCUAUGGGGGAAAGGAGGCUUCCCUAUUUAUAUUUACACAUCAUGUAUGUCCAAAUAAACACUAGUAAUGCUCUUGUCAUUCCCACCUUACAUUUGUCCAUUCUUGAUUCUGUCUUUUUCCUCCAUAUUACAUUCCAAAAUCGCAACUCCCACCUCCUUUCCAAGUGGGUAUCAAAAAGAAUCCCGGCUCAUUGUAUUAGAAAGUGUGAUUAAUUAUAUAGAGAGAAAGAUAGAGUUUUAUUCCUUUUUAUUAAAUUUAAUCUUAUUACUUUAUACUUUAAUAUUAUCAUUUAUAUUGCUUUUUGUCUAUAUAAUGCAUACAACUUUGAUUGUUGGUUGGACUGGUUCGAUGAUUGGGACCCAUUUGGUACCCUAAAAUUUUUCAAUCAAAUAAAAUGUCUAAAAAAAUAAAAUAGUUCGUGUGUUUGCCAGAUUGAUUAAAAAGAUACUGCACUCAGAUGUAGUUUUAUAAAAAAAUUUAAACCUUUUACAUUUUGUAUAAAUUUCAUUGAAUUCAAUAUACAAAUUGCAUAGUUGAUGAUGUAAAUAGAGUUAAGCUUUAUUUGAAUAAGCUCCACAAGCUUUUUAUUUUUCUUCUUAAAACUUUGAAAGAGCUUCUUAUUGUGUCGUAAUUUUAUUAAGAAAACUUAUAUGUUUUUAGUAAAAUAAAUAAUAUUAACGAUAUCACUUUUAUAAAAUCUAUUUAUUAGCUUAUGAUGAAAGUAAUUUCAUUAUGAAUUAAGAAAUAUUUUGGUCAAAAGCAUAAAAUAAUCUCUGCAUUAAAAAUAACUCUCAUGUUUUUAAAUAUUUUGGUCAUCUUUCAUAUUUUAAAAAGUAUUUAGGCUGAUUUUCUAAUUUAUUGAUAAUUUUAUCUCUUUAUAAACUUUUUAUCUUAUUAAUAAAUUUUAAUUUAUUAGAAAUUAAAAAAAGAAAUUAAUGAGUGACCAAAAAUAUUUGAAUACAAUAUACUUAAUUAAAAUAUAAAUAACUCUUGCCAAAAAAUUCUUUUUUUUAAAAGAAAAUUCUUUAUUUUAAAACUUCCAAAUUUUUACAUGGGACUAUGCAAACUUUUGAAGGAUCUUUUAGUAAAAAUAGUUAAUAAAAAUUAACAAGAUUUAUUUAUUUUUAAAAGUCUUCCAAAAAUUUUCUUUUAAAUUUCCUUUUAGAUUUAUUUAAACUAAUAAGACUUUUAUUUUUAUUUUUUAUUUUUGUUCUCACAGGAGUUUUUGAAUUUUAAUUUAUUUUAAUUUUUAAUAUUUUAUUUGUUUGCAUUAAUUCAUAUAUGGGAAAUAAUAUGUAUAAUUUUACAUGCUUUUAUUUUUCUUCCAAUAUUAUUUUCCACCAACAUUUUACCAUAAUAAUAUAUAGAAUUAUGUUUUUUAAUAACUAUAUUUGAAAUUGAUAUUAUAAUUUGAAAAAAAAAUUAAAAUGUAAUAAUUUUUAUUUAAAAUUUUUGUUUGAUUUCUCAAUAGUAAAAUUACUCCCAUUAAAAUUUAAGUGGAUGCAUGAAAAGUGGAGAAAUAUAGAAUAAAAAUUGUUGGAGUGGAGCCAUGUAGCCUGGUGGCUUUGAAAUUUAGGCUCACUAAUCACUGAUGUUGGAAUAAUGGGAUAUGAAAGAUAGGGAUUUGAUAUAAGAAAUGAUGGGGAUUAUGGUUAAAAAAAUGUAGAGAUUAUAAUGAUGGGAAACUUGAAAUUUAGGAAGUGAUUAAAGUAGUUCAAUUUCAUGCACUUUCUUAGGUGUAAUAACAUAAUAAUUGGUGAAGCGACCAAAUUUUGACCAUGGACCCACCAAAUUAAAUAUGAUCGACAAGUCACCACCUUUGAGUCUACUCCAAUUUCAGACAGUUUUUUUGGGGUAUAUUUUCACUACCAAGAGAAUAAAGUAGUGACUGUGGACUUGGGUUUGUUUUAUAUGGGGAAUAAGCCUUUUUUUCUUUAUUAUUAUUAUUAUUAUUAUUGUUAUUAUUUUGGCUUUUUACAUUUUUAAUGUAUUUAAUUUAAGGUGUUGAAUGUGUUCCUCCAUCAAAUAUGUGAUCAUUUUUAUAUAAAAAAGAAAGGAACUUUUAUUAUUAUUAUUAUUAUUAUUUAUGGUUAUAAGAUGCUUUAAAAUAUUUUAAAAUUUUGAGGUAGUAAAGCUUUUUGAAUAUGAAGGAUUAAAAAAAAGUGUAAAUUUUUAAAUAAUUUUAUUUUAUAUAUAUAUAUAUAUAUAUAUAUAUAUAUAUAUAUAUAUAUAUAUAUAUAUAUAUAUAUAUAUAUAUAUAUAUAUUUCUUUUUUAUGCAAAUUAAAUAUAUAUGCUAUUUUCCUACUUAUUUUCUUCCUCUAAUAAGCUUCAUGAUUCAAAUUAAGAUUUAAAAGUGAGAUAAACUAUAAAGUAGAAAAGUAUGAAUUUAAUCAAAAGAAGAAACCAUUUCCAUGGGCUUUGCCUUGAAGCUUCAAUGUAGACUCGAAUACCACUCAUUUAUUAAUAAUUGUAUCAUAUUUUUUUAUAUGAACAUAACUUAUUGUAUAAAUAAUAAGGCAUGAUUUGUGUAACACAUUUAAUAAAUAUGUUAAAUAGGUUUUGAGAUACAUGGACCACCACAUUACCAACAAGGUAUGAUUUGUGUAACAUGUUUAAUAAAAAUAUGUCAAAUAAGUUUUGAGAUAUACAUACCACCACAUUAUCAACAAGGCAUGAUUUGUGUAACAUAUUUAAUAAAUAUGUCAAAUAGGUUUUGAGAUACACGUACCACCAAAUUGUGAUAACGUGAAGGUCGAGGACAUGUUUUCCAAGAACUUGGAUCUCAAACUUCUAGAUAGCUCUUUUAGGAUUCCACUUUGCCACAAAUCUUUAAUCGUUGGCCCUACCCAUUUUCUCCAUGAAGUUGUGCGCUAGAAAAGUCCCUUAAAAUGUGGAACAAUGUUUUGUAUAAUUAUGAGAAAAGAAUAUAAAAGAAAAAGGGAGAGCAAAUGAGAAAAGAAAAUAAAAGAAAAAGGGAGAGCAAGGGGACUUUUGGAGCUAUUACGGUUUGUUUGGUUGCUAUUUUUGAAAAUUAUUUUAAAAAAUAGUUUUUGAGAAUAGUUUUUAAAAACAGUUUUUAUAUUUUUAAGAAAAAAAUAUAUAUUUGAGAACUGAAUUCUGAAAAAUAGUUUUUAUUCUAAAAAAAAACACAUAUUUUAUUGAAUUAAUAAUUUUUUUUAGAAUAAGUAAAAAAAAAGCAUGUUUGAAAAUUAUUUUUUAAUUAAUAAAAUAUUUUCUUCUAUUAACUUGAUAAUAUAAAUAUAUAAAUAAUUUUUAUAUACACAAUUCAUUUAAAUUAAAAAAAAUUAUUUCAUUUUGAAAUUUUUACACUAGUUAUAAUUUUUUUAACCAAAUGAUGACUUUGUAACUAUGUGUAAGUAUAUUAAUUUUAAUAAUUAAAGGAAGAAGAAAAUGUUUAUAUGUAGGGAUGGGGGUGGGGGUGUGGUGGUUGGGUGAAACUCACCUUUGUGGAAACACAAAAAACAAGUAGGAAAACACAAAAAGAAGAAAUAAAAAACAUGAAAAACAAUAUAUUCUAUGAAUAGUGAAAAAACAAUGAAAAUAUUUUUUUAUUGUUAGAAAAAAAGUGGAUUUUGAGAAUACGAAAAACACAAAACAAAAACACAUCCCUUUCCCAAAACAAGUUUUUUGUUUUCAAGAACAAAAAAUAAUUCUUGAAAAUAGGAACCAGACCCUACAUUUUUGGCAUUCCUAGUAGAAAGGAUAAAGUGGAAGCUUUCAACGUUGUUUAGAAGGACGUGUUAAAGAUUUCAUGUAGGUUUCAACCCAGAGUAAUCCAUUUCAUUACUUACAAACUCAACUAGGGCAUCAAUAGACUCAAUUUGAGUAGUAAGUUCAAUCACUUCAUCAAAGGAAUGAAGCUUCAAGCAAGGAUGAUAAAUAUCUAAGGUAGUAGUUAAGUGUCAGAUGAUUUAUGUCGCUAUUAGUUUUAUCAAUGCUACAUGUGAAGCAGAGGUGAUCACAUCAAGGGGAUUCCCCACCCCUUAGUUGAAGAAGAUAAAUUGGUUUGCAAUGAGAUGAUUUGCUUAUUUAAAGAGAAAAAUAGUCAAGAAAUAUAACUUAAUUAGCUCAAGACAAUAAUGGAUGAUAUUAGUAGCCCUUUCUUCAAGGAGACAUUGGAAGUUAAAGAGCCUACCACCUAGGUGUAUGUUUCUAAAGUUUCAAAUGUACGAUAGUAUGUUUCUAAAGACAUUGGAAGUUUAUUAUUGCAACCAAUACAUAAAUAAAUAAAUAGCAAUCAAGCAACUGAACUAAAUAAAAAAGAACCAGUAUGCUCACUUAUAUAUAUAUAUAAAAGAACAAGUAUGCUCAAGAAGGAAAAUCCACCAACUCCCAUCAUAAGUUAAAACAAUAGAUCCAAGACUUCGGGUUGGCUUUUAAUAAGCUUAAUGCUAUAUACUCCUCAUUCCUUUAAGGAACUAAAUAAGCUAUUAAACUUUUAUUAGUUGUGUUGGGAAUCUGAGAUUAUUUUGUUAUUAAGCAUUGGAUUAUUAGGGUGUCUGCAAUCCUAUCUUAGGUUUCUCUAGUUCUAAGCACAACAAAAAACUUGGUAUUAAAAACCAAAAUAGAUACCAAAGAUCUAGAGAAUAGCCUCAUAACUAUAAUUUGGAUGUUCCCAGAUUAAUACUUGGUCAUUUAGAAAGCUCUAAAUUUGUAGAUGAUCUCGUAAAUAAAGAAGUCUUCUAUCCAAUAACUUCUCCUUAAGUCGAGGCAUAGAGAUGGUGGAAAUCUCUAGGUUAGAGACUAAAGUUCUUUCUCUUGACUGAAAAGAGAGAGUGGCAAGAUUGAAGCCCUAAUCCCUAAGAGGGGUAUUUAUAAGUUUCUUACUAAGCUCAAGUGACUCAAGCCCACCAUGGGCUUAGGUCACUUAGUCUAGCCUAAAAAGAUGUUAAUUGUUUAAUUAACCUAACAAGACUUCAAAAUUAAUUCAAUCUAGAGAUACCGUUCAUUUGCCUCUAUGCAACCUUCUAUAAUUAACAAAAUGCUCUUAUGCACAUAAAUGAACUAAAAACUCACCCAACCCUUAUAAACCGUAUCAUCAAGGACUAUGAGCUUGAAUGGGGAUUAUUGAGACCCAUAGGACAGUAUCGGCUCCCUCAAAAUUCAUUUAUGAAAUUAACUCAAUAUCUUACUACAAAUAAUCAACUACAUAUCAGUAUUCUACAUAUAUUAUAAUGAAACACCAAGUGUUCGAGUUCGUGACCUAUUAUCCAUUAUAUACAAUCUCCCCAUGAACUGGUAUUUGUAAUUUAAUAAGGUGAAAACUAUUAGUCUCUCAAGAUUACCUUUAUCAUCCUUGAGUUAUAGCUAGGUUCUCUAAUUAUGUGAUCAAAUGACAUACUCUAACUCACUAAGAGUAUAAGACAAAUUCCACAAAAUGAAUUACUACGAACCCAUAAAUUUCAUGAUCACACAUCCUUAAAAUCACCCAAUAGGACACAUUGUCUCAAAGUCUAUAACAUAUCAUGGUGUUUCUAUUAAGAAUACAUGUUGUUACUGGCUUUCAUCAUAAUCACCCAAUUCAUAUGGAAUAUUUGAUCACUUUAAGAUCUCACUAGUAGAUCAUUGCUAAGUUUGGCACAAAAUCAAUAUUUUCUCAAGGUUGAGAGAUAAGACAAUGUAGCAGCUUGGUGAAGUCAUGACUAUCCGAUAGUCUUAUAUCAUGACUUACCAUAGGUUCUACCCAAUGUGUAACCAUACACACUAGUACACUCACUAUGGGAACCCUAUCUUGAUGCUCAAGACUAGCUAUCCCUCCAAUUAGGAGGUGGUGUACUACAACCUUAAAUGGAUUGCCUAAAUCCACAAACCAGUUGUGAACAAAUCAUCUACAUGCAAAGAACCCAUGACUUGGAUCUUUCAUGCAACUCCUAAUGCACCCAAGUCAUAUACAAUGCAAGAGUUGUUAGGUUAUAAUGCUUAUGGAGUAUAAUCCAUGUAAUAAGGAUAGAUAAAAGUAAGACUAGAAUAUCAUUAAAUGAAUAAUUAAUUCCAAAUAUGUUACAUCAUGUUAAGGAGAAAGAUAGGGAUGAUAUUGUGCAUAGCAUCACAUUCCUAGACAUCCCAUAGGUGAAUAUAAGAUUUCAAAGCAUGUUAUUAGGAUGUACCUCCACAACGAGAAAUUGUAGCAAUUUUUAGCUAAGGAAAAAGAGAGGAUUCCUGAAGUUCAAAAGAUAGUGGAUAAUGUUGGGGAUGUCCCCACCCCCCCUCCCUCCAACCCCUCCAUCUAGAACAAAUCAAUUUUAGUUAUUCAUGAUGGCAAUAGAGGAUUUCAUUGUUAGCAAAUGACAUCUAUAAGAGGCUAGUCAAGUUAGAAUCCAUCAAUUUGGACUUUGCCAACUCUAUCAAGGAGAUUUAAUGUUAUGCUAUUAUGAGGAAGAUAAUGGUGUGCCACAACCUCACAAUGGUGCAUGGUGAUAACAUUAUUGAUUGAGAAUUGUUAAGUUAAAUGAAUAUUAGUUGAUUUUGGGAGUUCAAUUGAUGUAUUGUUUAUUUCCACCUUAAGUGGGUUAUGAAUUUUAGCUACAAAUGGAAGUACAUUGGUUGGAUUUGAUGAAGAUGUCAUGAGUGUUAAAUGAUAAGUCACCCUAUUAGUUAUUAUAGAGCCAAAUAUUGCUAUGUUAAAAUUAGUAAUGGUAGACGUUUCUUCACCUUAUAAUGACAUCCUUGGAAGAAAAUAGAUACAUCAAAUGUAGGCUAUGCCAUUCAUUUAUCAUUAAAAGUUGAUUUUCCUCUUUACAAUUGGAAUGAUAGAGACUUGGUAAUUAAAUUAGUGUAAGAAUGUUAUUGUAUACCUUUGAAGGGAGUUUCAAGAAGUUGGAAAAUUGACAUUAGUGAAUUAUUGUAACUACAACAUCUAUUGAGGAAGAAUGAAAAUGCUUUCUCGAUUGCAAAAGAGAAAGAAAUAAAUUGAGUGUAUUACCUACAAGGAAGGAAAGUUUGUAUAAGUUAAAGUCACACUCUUCAUAAAAGGAUUUCUUAUCAUUUUGUCUUUUAUCAGAGUGUUCAGAAUUUAACGAGGAUGUCAUAAAUUUGGAUGUCAAACUUCUUGAACAACUCCUUUAGAAUUCCAUUCUAUCCCAAAUCCUUGAUAAUUCUAUUAUUUGCAAUCAUUACCCAUUUUCUUGAUAAAAUUGAGUGCCAAAAAAGUAACAUAAAAAAGAGUCAUGUUUAUAUAAAUUUGAGAAAAGAAUACAAAAAAAAAAAAAAAAAAAAACAAUGAGGCAUUUGGAGCUCUUUCAUUGUUUGAGUUGUUUUAAUUUUUGAAAUUAUUUUAUUGAUUCAAAAUAUAAUGAAAUAAAUCAACACAACAAAAAAUGGUCACUUAAGACCUAAAAUUCUAGAACAAGAUCAAGAACUAUAAAUACCAAAAACUUUGAAUAAAAAUUUGGAUGAAAAUAGUUUAAGAGGUUUUAAAUUAAACAAAAAGGUAAAAAUUUCUUAAAAAAUAAAAAUAAAAAUACAAGUGAAUUAUUAACCCAAACAUUUAGAAUAUAGACCUCCAAAGCCCAAAACUAAUAUAUGUAUUCAAUAUCCAAGUAUUUGGAAUAAGAAUCACAAUUUGAACAUGAGUCAAUAAUAUGAUUUGAAAAUGACAUAAAAAUUCACACGUUCGAGUUGAGUAUAAUCAUGUUCAUGUCAUAAUUGUGUCAACCAACAUAAUAUAGUUAAUAAAUGGCUUCAAGUUCGAAUGACCAACUUGCAAAACCCAACCCACUCAUAAUUCCCAUAGCCUAGUUAAAUAAUUAUUUCGGGAUAACUUGUUUAUGAAACUUGACCCGUUUAACCUCUAUAAUUUUUAUUUACUAAUUUUAUACAUUUUAAAAAUAAUAUAAAAUUAUUACAAAUUAUAAAUCGAAUAUAAAAAUAUAUACCUCAGGCAUAAAUUUUAAAUAAUUAAAUUAAUGAAAAAUCUAUAGUGAGUCAUGACAUUAACUAUUAGGUGAUUAUGAUCUCACCAAACUACUACAUUAUAUAAUUUAUCAAUCUUGAGAGGAUACCAAACUUGUACUAAAAUUUGUGGUAACUUUGACUUACGGGUGAAAUCUUAAUUAAGGUAGUCAUAUAUAUUCCUAUGAAUUUGGUCAUUAUUAAUGGGGACAACUGAAAAUGGUAUUCUCAAUAGAGAUGCAGAUACCAUGAUAUCUCUUAAGAUUGGGAUGAUGUGUCAUCUUGGGUGGUCCUAAGGACAUGUGUUGGAAAAAUUUAUAGUCUUAGUAAUUUUUUAACUAAAACUUGACAUAUAUUUUUUGUGAGCUAAAGUAUGUUAAUUGAUUACAUAACAGAAGAAUCUGAGACUUAAAGAUUGUAGAAGUAAUCUUGAGAGGUUGAUAAGAUUUACUUUGUUAGAUUAUGAUCGACACCGAUUAAUUAGGAGUUUACAUAUAAUGAAGAUACUGGAGUGUAAAUAACUCGAUGUAGUAGGAUGUUGAAUCAACUUUAGAAUUAGAUUUUGAGGAAGCCAAUAUUUUUCUAUGGGUCCCAAUGAUCCUUACUUGAGCUUAGUUUCCAUGGUGACAUAGUUUAUGAGGACUAGUUAUGUUUUUUAUUCACUUGUAUGCAUAAGGACAUUUUGAUAAAUAUAUAAGGUUACAUAAAAGCUUGUAAAUAGCUCUUCAGACUGAGUUAAUUGAUUAAUUAGAGCCAAAUAGGGCUAAUAAAUCAGUUAGACCCAUGUGAGCUAGUUUAAGUAACCCAAGCUAAGAAUGAGACCAAAUUAUUUAAGCCCACUAGAAUCCUAUAUAAACCAUCUUAGGGGUUAGGGCUUCAACUCUAAACAAUCCAUUCUUCUUAUUCACUCUAGAAAGAAAAGAACCUUAACCACUAACCCCUUCAAAGGAUUCCACCCUUUGUGUGUCAGGAUUUGAAAAAAGCCAUUAGAUAGAAGACUAUUGAGUUUAAGAGAUCUACCGUAUAUUUGACACAUUUAAUAGGAUUUGAUUUAGGAACAUCCAAAUUUAAGGUAAAAACAUUCUCUUCUAGAUUGAAAAGUUUUUAUAUGCUUAUUUGCUUUCAUUACUAAGAUUUAGAAAGCCCCCGAUAGAUUUUCUUAUAUCCUAAUGAUCCAAGGAUGGGAAUGGAGUAAUUCAGAUAUCCCUACACUUCUUGUAAACUCUUGUUUGUUAACCAUGUUUUCAUAUUACAUGGUCAUUUUUUUUAAAUAUUAAAAAUAGGAUAAUUUGUAUUGUAGUUAUGUUUGUCAGUUAUAAACUAACUAAUUAAAUGGAUUCUACGACCCUUUUUAGGUUAAUUUUAUUUUUUUUUAUUUUUUUUAUUUUUGUUGGGAAACAAGUAAGAAAUAGGGUUGCAAUGUUGUGUGUAUUUCUCUGAUUUCAUUUUCUUAUUGUAAGUGGGAAACAAGGUAGCAAGCACAAAUGAUUAUUAUUGUUGCCACUUUAUCAUAUUCUUACUAACAAAGGGCAAAUUUGGAUACUUGAAAAAAAUAAAAAUAUUUUAUGCUCAUAAAAGAGUACAAUGAUAAAAAAAAGUUGAAUCAAUUCAAAUCCCAAAAUCAUGUCAUUGUUUUAUAAAUAUCUUCCAAAAUGUGAGAUUCUUUGGGAAUAUAUUUUUCUUGAUUAAGAUUUUUACUGAACAUAUAUGUGAAACCAAGGUUUGGUUAAUAUUGAUUUUGAUGAUAACAAAACAAGGUUUAGAACUAAUGAUUAUAUUUUAAGUGUGAUUAGGCUAGACGAUUUUCAAAGUGGCAAUCACAAAGACAAAUCAAGUUAAGGAGAAAUCAUGAAGAAGAAGACCACCUCAAAGAGAAGUGUUUUUCAAGACCCAAGUUUCAUAAGAUCUCUUUGUAAGGUUGUUGGUGCACUAGGAUUUUCAUGCAUUACAUUUUUUACUUAUGCACCAAAAUCAUCCAAGAGUUAUUUUGUUUUAAAUAUUUUAAGAAUUGGAUGAUUUCAUGUUUUUCAACUAAAACCUUGUGUUAAAUGUUUUUCAAACUUGUUUUAAAAAGGUUUUAAGUUGAAAAAGUUAGUUGUUGAGCCAAAAAACGGCUCAACCGGUUGAACAGGAUGAGGAACCGGUCGACCGCAAGCUCAACCGGUCGAGGUCUGGGUCGACCCCCAGCUCAAUCGAUCGAGGCUCGGGUAGACUCCCAGCUCAACCGGUUGAGGGUGCAAAAAACUUUCUCUUUCUUCCAGAAUAGUUGUUCAACCGGUCAAGGUUGAACCUCAACCAGUUGAGGUCCGAUCGAGGUCCGGUUGAGGCCCAACGGUCACCUGUCAAACAUUAAAUGCUAACAGCUAGUCAACCGAUCAACCCCUAACUUGACCAGUCGAACCCCCAAACGACUAGUUUGACUUUUCUCUUCUAUAAAAAGGCUCCAAUCUUCAUUGUUUAGUGAGCUUAACCUUCUCAAACUUUUCUUGAAUAUAUUUGAGCCUUGGAAGAGUGUUUUUGAGUGCACCAUUAUUCUAAAACUUGCAUAUCCUUAGUGCACCUUUCAAUCCUAGUUUUCUUGUAUAAUUUGAGCUUAAAGUUCUUGUGUUAGGAUUUUUAUGAGAUCAUUUAUUUGUAAACCUUUGAGAAGAAGUUUCUCAAGAGUGUGGUAUUUCUUGAAAAGUGUAAAGGGUGCUUGGAAUCAAAAGUUUAGGAGGGUGAAUUGGAACCACAAUUCAAUUGUAUUACUUGAAGGCUUGGUUUGGAAGCCUUGAAUUAGUGGAGCCUCAAGUUCGGGAUUGAAGCUAGAGGAGAGUGGAUCUAGGCCGGGUUGCGCCAAACCACUAUAAACUCUUGUGCUUACAUUCUCUCUUCCAUACUCUUUAAUUUAUAUGCAAUUGUCUUUAUAUUACUCAUUAUAUACUUGCAUAUAAUUGUCUCUUACAUUCAUAUAGUUUAAAUUUGCAAAAAGAGACCAUCACCUUAUUCACCCCCCCUUUAAGGUGAUUACCAUAGGUUGGAUUAACAUAAUUUUUCUAACAAUAUAUAUAAUAUAAAAAUCCUCAAAAUAUUUAUUGUUGCUUAGAAUAUUUUAAUAAAAAAAAUACUAGAAUUUUUUUAACGGGUUACUUGAUUAAAAGAGUCUGAGAAAACCCAAUUUUAGAAAUUUAACCCUUUGUCCAUUUUUUGUCUAAUUUUGACAAAAAUACUCUUAUUAUUUUCUUAUAAAAAUAACAUAUGUAAAUAUUUGAAAUGAUGAAGGACAUUUAUGUAAAAAAUGAGUUAUUUUUUAAGUAAAAAAUAUGAAAAAGGUUAAAUUCAUAAUUUGGGAAUUAUCUCAUCUUUUUAACCAAAUAUUUCUUUUUUUAAUAGGUUGGUUGAGUUAGAAAAUUGUAUUAAGUUUUGAAUGGACAAAAAAUCUAUUUUAGAGAACAGUCUACAAAUGGGUACAAUUAUGCGGAGAAUUAAAUCAUUUUCUACCAUCAAUUUUGACGCAAUCAACAGGCCCAACCCAAAUUGUUUUCAGUGGGCCAGGUUGACAAAGCCCAGACCCAGUAAGGUUUAGCAAGCUGUAGUUCUGAGUUAGGGUUUAUCUCUCUUGUUUCUCUAAACUCGGUUUCAGAAUCAUUCCCACAUCAGACCAGGGGAUUCUCUCUUUCCAAAUCUCUCAUCGCCAUGACGAAGUUCAGAAAGCUUGGUCGGCCCACUGGCCAUAGAAUGUCCAUGCUCAGGUUUCAAUUCAAUUAUAAGUUUUCCAAAUCUUGGGUCUUACCAGCCGUACGGACUGAAUGUAGUGUUUUUAAAAUUUUCUUCCUUAUUUUAUGCCUUCAGAACAAUGGUGUCGCAGUUGGUGAAGCACGAGCGCAUUGAAACCACCGUUGCCAAGGUAAAACUGCUUCCUCUUUCAAUGUUUUUUGUUUACAUCUUUGUUUGUUUGCCGUGAAAAUGUCGAGCGAUGGAAGACGAGCUUGAUGUUGAAUGCAUUUUGGUGAUCAAGUCACAGAAACAAACCUUCCCCAUCUCUCUUCUCUCUGUAGCUUCUCACUUCGCCUGAUAGAUAGUGGGUAUUUGUGUUUGUUUAUCCGGGGAAAAUUUCCCAAAGUUAUCUGUCACUUUCCCAGAAAAUUAACAGUACCCGCGGAUUUUUACUUCGGGGGUGCGUCUCCGGACCAGUGUGGUGUCAUGCUUCCGUCAGGACUGGUCUGUAUGUAAUUUCAAAUAUGCUAUUUUUUGGAUUGAUAUUGCUGUGCUGUGUGCUGUUGAUAACUCAGAUAUGUUAUUUGUGAUAUCUGAAAGUAUGGGCAUGAUGGGGGUUUGAGACCUGUGUUUUGUUUUGUGUUUUUUGUUUGGUUGAAUGUACUGGAUUUGAAAUUAUAGAGAAGGGCGAGGGGCUUUCUUGGUUUGGGGGUUUUUUUGUGAGUGGGGAUUUAACCUGGGUUUGGAGAUUUGAGGCAUUUUCUUUUUGUGGAUAUUGAUUUUUUGGGGAUUAGAACUGAAACUAAGGUGGGGUUUGGGAACUGAAAACUGAAAUAUGCAUGCAAGGAGUGGUUUGGAUCAGGAUAUGGUGAUAGUUGCAGCUGUUUUGAGAACUUGAGCAUUUGAUUGCUCGAUGACCAACACCACUGUGUGUGAGAAUUUGCUAAUGACUGUGAGUCAUGGUUUAAAGUCACAGCAUCACUCAUUGACUUGGGAGGUUGUGAGGCACAUCAACCUUGACAUCUCACUGAGGCACAUCAAACUUGACAUCUUGGAUUGGUAUUAGAUGAUAGACAAAAUAUACUGGUUUGAAAGCUUAAAACUUCUAAAAGAGUUUUAAAAGAACUCAUAAAUAAAAUUAUAUCACAUGUAACAUUAUUUGAAUACUCAUAAAAGAAUGCAUUCAGAUUAAUUUAUAAUAAUAAUUUAUACAUAAUUGAAAAUAAAAUAGAGAUAAAUAUAUUAAAAGUAUUUUCAAAACAUUAUUAUUUAAUUUUACUAUAUGUAGUUAGAUAAUUUAAUUUAUUAAUUUAAAUAAAAUUGUCAUUAAUUAUUUAUACCCAUAUCCAUAUAUGAAGUUGCAACUUUGAACUUGGAAAUUACUUGUUCUGUGGUACUUUUUUAUUUUCCAAUGAUAUCCUUUCGUAGGCAUUAAUUUAUCAAUAAAAUUUUUUCUUAUAAUGUGUAAUACAUUUGUUUCAUAUUUCGUUGAGACAUUGUGCUACAAAAUGUACAAAUUUUAGCCGAGAAAAAUGAUAUAGUUAUUGUUUAAAACAUAUGGUAUAGAUUAGUUUUUUAUGAGUUAGCAUAAUAUAUAUAGGGUUACUAAUGUUGAGGACCUAGCUUGGGUUCUAGGUUGUAAUGUAUGGGUACCCUCCCCACUAGUUAUCUUGUCUAUCAUUUGGGAGCCCCUUUUAGAUGAUGAUGAGUGUGGGAUGUGGUGGAGCAAAAAUUUCAGAAAUAGCUUGCUAUGUGGAAGCAAUAGUACCUAUCAAAAAAGGAGGACUAACUCUAAUAAAAAGUACUUCUUCUAACCUGCCAAUUAGUUCAUGUUAUUAUUUGUCAUCUCGAGAAAGGUAAGCUUAAGGCUGGAAAAAAAUCCAAAGAGAUUUCCUUUUGUGGAGAGUUGCUUUGGUGAUACUAUGUCUUUGAACCAUGCUCCUUGCCAAGUCUGCUGGAAUUCAGACCAUUGUUUUAAUCCCAAGUGCUUGUGGGGUUGUAGAUCUGGGUUCAGUGAGGUCAUCACCUAAGAGCUUAGAGAUGUUGCAAACCAUAUGAUGUUCAUUCUUGAUGUUUUCACCAUUUAUCAGGGUCAAGCCAACCUUACCAGUGUUGAAUGAGAAGAAAAAUCCAAGUGCCCCUUCUCCAUUUUGGGGAUUGGGAAGCGAGGAGAAGGAUUUCUGAAGAUUUCUAGGUAGGAUUUGAACUCAGUUUAAAAGAAGCUUGCUGUUAGAAAGGCAGAAGAGAGGCUGUGGUAAGGCUUCCAAAGUGGGAAUAGACUUCCUUUCAAAAACACUCGAAAUGGUCUGCAUGGUUCAAGUUGGUGGUCACAUAUGCAAGGUGUGAAACCAGUGAGCACUGCAGAAAUGGACAGGGCUCAGGGCCUCAUCAUAAUCUACAUGAGAUUGUUAAUGGGGUUAUAGAGGAGUUUCAGCUUAACCAAUUCCUGUCUCUGAAGCAGGUGCAAAUUCAAAAUAAUUCUGCAGGGCCUGCUUCAAGGUCUUCUAUGUUGGUCCAGCCAAUGACUGUUGUAUUUCUCAAAAAUUAAAAAAAAAAAAAGAGGGAAAUCUCACUAUUUCAAAAUUUGACAAAUUUCAAAUCGGGAAAGCUUUAGAAUAGGCAACAUGUUUACUUUCUUCUUUCAUAGGUGCCCGUGUGUAUAUGUAAUUAAAAAAAUUCACAAUAAUAGUAAUUUGCAUUAUUUUAAAUUUCAAUAAGUUUAAAAUUUGGAAAUUUGUAUGAUGGAAACAUGUUUGUUUCUUUGAUUUUGCAAUUUCAGGCUAAAGAGAUCCGGCGGCUUGCUGAUAACAUGGUACAACUUGGAAAAGAGGUAUGGUUAGCACAUUUUUUUGGGGGGUUUUUCUUGUGUUUUUCUGGAUAUUAUUUCUGAGUGGGUUGAGCCUUGAACAUUUUUUUUGGAUAGCCAAAUUGAAGAUUAUAGAUUAAUAGAUGCCUUGAAAAAGGUCAAAGUCCCAAUUUCUUGGAGACUAAAAAUUUAUUAGAAUUUAAACUUAAUUUUUUUAUUAGACAAGUUUUUUGUAUUUCACUAACCAUUUUUAAGGUUGAGCCUAGAAACAUUUCAAUCCCUAAUUUCUUUUGGGAUGGCUAUAUAAUUAAAGGUAAAACUACUAUUCCUUCUGGUUAGAAAGGAUUACUAGAGUUUUUAAGAACAGAUUGGAAAUGCCAAAUAAUGUGAGUACAGAACCCCUUCUUCCUUUUUUGUUUUUUAAACCGGAGAAUAAGAAGGUUUAUUUUUCAGUGGAUUCCUUUUGUGGGGUUUCUAUGCUUAAUUUUGAUGGUGGUUCUCUUUGUGCUCCAGCCAGAAGGGCAUUGGAGGUGUUAUAGGGGUCACAACAUUAUCAUUGUUUGAGAUUACUCUUAAGUCUAAGGAUUUGUACUGGCUGUAAAAGCAGAGAUUUUAUUCUUUUUAAAGGGUUUGAAAUGGCUUCUUCUGUUGGGAUCCCUAAGCUUAUUCUCAAUGGAGAUUUUCUAUUGUCUAAUCUUGGUUCUUAAUCAAUCAGAGAGCCUUUUGGCAGUUUAUUUCCUUGAUCGGGCAGGAUUAAGGAUGGUGUGAGGGAUGUGGUGGUUUCCUGUUAAUAGGAAGCCCAAAUCCACUUAGCCAAGAGGGGAGCUCUGUCCAAUAAUUCUUUCUUUUUGUUUUAUUUUUCUCCUUUUCUCUUUCUUUCCUUUCUUUUCUUUUUCUUUUCAUGCCCCUUUUGGGGUUUUGAGGUAGUGAGUGCCUAGUGCUUGGUUUUUUUCUAUUUCUUUUUCUUCUUGGGGACAGCUUUGUUUAUAAAGAAAAUUAUUUUUAUUCCAUCUUGAAAUUAUUACAGGGUUCUCUUUGUGCUGCAAGGCGUGCAGCAGCCUUUGUGCGAGGGGAUGAUGUGAUUCACAAGCUAUUCACUGAACUGGCUUAUAGAUACAAGUGAAUCUUAAACCUGUUGCAUUUUCAGUUUUCUUUUGUAUGGUUGUAAUAUUGGAUGGGCAUUCUCUGUUUCAGAGAUAGAGCUGGUGGAUAUACAAGAUUACUUCGAACUCGCAUACGAGUUGGUGAUGCUGCACCAAUGGCCUAUAUUGAGUAAGAUUGUAUUUGACUUGUUAUUGCGAUUGUUUUUUAGGAGUCAAGCAUCUGUCUGACACUAGUGUCUUUCGAAUGAUUUUAGAAGAUGUUACAAUAUUUCUUUUCUAAAUAAUGAUUAUAACUAUUAAUGUAAUGACUAAUGAGGAUAUAAUAUUCAUCAAAAUGGUUGUGUUACAAACAUAUUCAUUAAGAAAUUAUGAAAUUUUAUAUAAUACGUAUUUGAAAGUAUGUCAUCUAUGCAAAAUAUUCAUUGUAAAUUAUUUUUUGAAAAAACUUGGACAAACACUGUUAUUAAUGUGCUUUUUCAAGGCUUGACAUUAAUAACUACGACAAUAAUAGUAACAAUAAUAAAAGAAGUGAGGAAUUCUGUCCUCUGAAGUUAUUCGCUUAUCUGAUAUUUCCAUUGAUGUACCCUGUUUGGCCUUUGUUGAUGUCCGUCCUUGUUUUAAUUAUAUGUUUACUCAUGUGAACAGGUUUAUAGAUAGAGAGAAUGAGCUUAGACAGUCAAAACCUGCAACACCUCAGCCACCACAGAGAGUGCCCUUGGAUCCCUGGACAAGAUCCCGUCUCUGCAAGCAGUUUGCUCCCCCUAAGGAGGAUAAGAGCUCUGAUCCUGAGAUUUGAAAUGAGUUGAUGGCUUGUAAUAAGAUUUUGUUCCAUUCUUUCCUUCGCACAUGGCUGAAACCUGUGCUUCAAUUAAGUUUAUGGGGAUUGCCAUUCAUGGCAAUGUAUCAAUCUCUGUUCCCUGACCAGCCAUUGUGAGAACAUAAAUGGGGAUUAGUGCAGUGCGGAUCGGUAGCAUGUUUGGAUUUGGAUUGAUAGGGCUAAAAAAUAUGGAGGUGAACCCUGUGGCUUUCUUGGAAGACAUUAGCAUGUUCUUGAGUGGUCAUUAAUAAGUUGUGACUGGUUUAUCUGAUUAAGCUUGUUAUACAUCCAGAAUAAUUUGCUCAGAAUUGAUCCAGUUGGAUUCUUUUCAAAGUUUGAGAUUGGGUUGUGGUCCAAGUGUUGGGGUUUUGGUUGUGGGUAGCAAACUAAUCUACAGGAAUGAGAAGAUGCAGUGCUGAUUUUGCGGGUUGUUGAUGCCAAACCCACCCCAUCCAGUGGCUGGUGAAAGGGAGGCCCCCCUUGAAUGCAAAGCAUGUCCAGGAUUGAGGAAGGAGCUGAGGUAGCUGCAUGUCAAACAUGAAAUUUGGUGAGCUGGUGAGCGUUACAAAUACAUUGUUAACCUUUUGAUAAAUAGAAGCUUAGCUUGCAAGUUGAGACUCAUUCCCCACGGUUUGUAACCAGCCAUAAUCUUUGGGCUGUGUUUGGCUCUAGAAAAUUUGAGGGAAAGAAAAUAGAAGGAAAGUUUUUUAAAAUCAAUAAAUUAUUAUUUUUAUGUUAUUUUAAAUUCAUUUCACUUAUUUUUCCUUUCUAAUGUAAGAAUUAAAUAAUCUUAAAAUACAUAAAUUUUUAAUUAAUUACAAUUGUAUUGGAAUUUUUUUCAUUAUUUUCUAUGGUAAAAUGAAACUUGAGAAAAUAACUUGUUUUUGGUAUAUAUUUUUUCUGGGUAUUCUUUGAAAAUCAAAUAUAGCUUUGGAGUGUGGAAGUAGGAUCCAAACAUGCCGCUGAUCAAAUAUGAAAUAACCAUAAUAUCCAUUUGGUUGGGUCCCAAGUUUUCUAUAAUGUUGUAUGUAUCCCUCACUUGCCUUCUUUUUGGGGGUUUCUAAAAAAACUGCAGGAGUAUUAUUUUACGAUAUCAAGUGGUCCAAAGGACCAGAACCUCCUUAAAAAAAAUGAUACCCAGGAUAGACUGAAGUACAGGAAAGGCCAGUGAGACAUGAUUUGUUGGUAUCACAAAGACCUGAAUCAUGAGUCAUGAGUCAUGACCAGAGAAAAGCGUUUGAAGCUUCGGCUUUUGGUUGCUUUGCUUUCAAUACAAAGUACAGGAUACAUGUAAGUCAGGCGUGUCCACAUCAUAUGGUAUGGUCUGGUCAGCCUUGUCUGGAAAGACAAGAUACAGCCAAUAGCAGAAUACUUUCUGGAAGUUCUAUGCAUGGAUUAAUGGAGAAGAGAUGGGAGAUGGAGUAACAGUGAGAUACGUAGCGACUGGUGCAAGGCUUCAAUCAUAUAACGAAGUCCCACCUUCUCUCUGUCUUCUUCUCUUCCCCACAUUGCUUCAUUUUCUUAUACUUGAAAAAUCGUUUCUUAACCUCUCACAAGUCUAAUCCAUUAUCAUCAAUCACCCAUGAUUACUAUUUCCUUUAACCACCUCUCCUUCUCUGAUUUACUUCAAUCCAAAGCCAACAAUACCCUCCUUCAGCCGUCUGGCAGGCUCCCAACUUUAUUUGGGAUUUUAAUUAUUUGCUUCACUCUCACAAUUACCUGUUAAGAAGUUUUUAAAUGAUGAUUGAAGUGAUAUUAUCAAAAAGCUCCAUCCUUGCUUCACUAUCAACUCACUUGUAAUUAUACCUAGCUUUCUGUUGUUCCUAUUUUGCAUAAUAAACGUGUGAUUUCCAUGAGAAAGUGUUCCUUAAUUAUUUCCCAUGGAUUUUUUUUUAAAGAUAUAAAAUAAAAACUUGGAAUUGAUAUUUUUUUUUUUUUUUUAAAAAAAAAUGUUUUAGAACAAGUUAAAAAGACUUUUCUUUGUUUUAUUACAAAAAACGUCAUAAUGUUAUUUUUUUUUUUAAUAUCCUAAAAAAAUCAUUUUUUUUUUCUUUACAUGAACCAAAAAUAAUUUUGAAAACCUAAGAUUUGGCAACCCUUUUCAAAAACGGUUUUCUGCUCUUCAAAAUAAAAAAAUUAGGUAAAUAUGUUUAACAAUUAAUAACCAUUUUUUGUUUUCUAUUUUUUAAGAACAACACAUAAAGUGUUUUAUGGUAACAUUUUUUAAAUUGUUUUUUUAAAAAAUAAUUAUAUAAACAUGUAAAAUGAUUAAAAAUAAAACAUUAGAAAUAAAUAAGUAUUUUUAAAAUAUAUUUAAAAUAUUUAAAAUAAAUUAAAAAUAUUUUAUGUUUCUAAAGAAAUUUUUGUUUUACAAAAUAUAAUGCAAUAGUUUUCAAGAAUUAUUUUUUAAAACUAUUUUUAAAACUAUUUUCAGAAAUAUUUACCAAACAAACCUUAAUAUUUUCAUUUAUUUUAUCAAAUAAGCCUUAAACCUUUUUUCUUCAAUUUCGAAUGCGAGUAGAUUUUAAAAAUGUCGUUUUUUGCACUGAAAUAAAAAUCCAUACUUUAAAAUUCGAAAUAUGGGAAAAAUUAUUAUUAUUAUUUUUUAAAAAUAAAAUAUAUAUUUCAUUUGAUUUUAUUGUUCAUAUUGCCUAUUGUGUUAGGUGAAAUAGUCCUUGAAAAGACCCUUAAACCUAUACAACACCCUAAUUAAUAUUACUUAAAUAUUAAGAUAAAAAAUAAAAUUAAUGAAAAAAUAAAAAAUGAAAAUAGAAACUUGGCAUUUAGUGGUUAUCUACGUGGGUCAACCAGUGACACCUUAUCCGUCCAUUCGUUCAAGAUGGACAGACCUCUAUUCUCAUUACCAAUAAAAUAAUGAAAAAAAGGAAAGGGUACCUACUUCUUAGGCCCAAGGCAAGCUAGUGAACUACCAAAUCUACCAUUAUGUUUAGGGCAAAAACAACCCUUAAAUAGGGGCAACAUUGUCCCUAAGAAAAUAAAUAAAUUAAUAAGUGUCUUUAUAAAUUUGACUUACAAAAUGGUACCCACUUUGGAGGGGGCCUAAGAAAAUAAUGAUUGGUCAGUGUUGUUUACUUGGUAAGUGAGAUGGGACAUUUGAUCAUCAACUAGUUCAACCCAUCUUUCUUUUUCCUCAACCAAAUCUAGUAAUCUUUACACAAUCAUAGCAAUCAUCUUUUUCUAUUUUUUCAAAGGAAAAAAUGCACACAAAACUUGAAAUUAUGGUCAUCCUUUUAAUUUAAAAUUUGAUUACAAGUCAUUGUGACGUAUUGUUUUUAAGAAUUAAUUCGUAUUUGUGAAUUUAACCAUUUUUUAUAUUUGAAGAGUAACAUUUUUAAUAUAAAUACCUUUAACUAUUUUAAGUAUUUAUAUAUAUAUGUUUAAAAAAAAGUUACUUUUAUAAAAUAAAAAAAAUAUUUUUGUCAAAAUAAGAUUUUAAAAAAAAGAUGAACAGGAUAAAUUUUCAAAAUCGGGUUUUUAUUGACCCUUUUAAUUAAAUAACCAUUUUUUAAUGUUUUUUUUUAUAUAAAUAUCAGUAAUUUACCCAAAAAAAAAAAAAAAAACAGACACUAUCAAUAGAAUUUUUUUUCUUUAGAGAAUGUCAUGAAAUAAUUUUUAGAAUAAUAUUUAAUAGAUUUUUUUUCAAAUAUUAUUAUUUUUCUAUAUAACACACUAUCAAUAAUAUUAUUAAAAGAAAAUAUUUUUUUUUGUAUUUAAUUUGAUUUUUAUAAGAGCCUUAUAGAAUGAAAACUCUUCUUAAUCUUCAAUGACCUUAAUUAUCUUAAUCUUAGAUCGUAUUAGAAAUUUAGGGUAUGUAGGAUAACUGUUUUUUAAAACAAUUAUGAAAAACAAUUUUUGAGAAUAGUUUUUCAAAACUAUUAUGUGAUAUUUUUGUAAAACAAAAGUCUAUUUAGAAACUUAAAACAUUUUUAAUCUAUUUUUAAAUAUGUUUUAAAAAUAUUUUUUUUCUAUCUAAUAUUUUAUUUUUAAUCAUUUUACAUGUUUGUAUAAAUAUUUUUUAAAAUGGUCAUUACAAAAUAAGUAAAAACAGUAUAAAACAACUAAAAUAUAUUAUUUAAAAACAAUUUUUGAUUGUCAAACUUGUUUUCUUGAUUUUUUGUUUUAGGAAAAUUGCUUUUAAAAACAGUUAUCAAACAAGUUAUUAGAUUUUCUUAAUUAUCAUUUAUGACACUUUUAUAAAAAGAUUAAAUCAUUAACAAAAAUUUAAUGUAUGGUUUGUAUAUAUUUUUAUUUUAAAUUUUAAAAUAAAAAAUAAUUAUUUAUAUUUAUUUAAAAAAAUAAGUUUAUCUCAUAUUAUUAAAUUUUGAUUUAUAGCAUAUUUUGAUUUGAGAUAAUAAUUUUUAAACCCAUAAAAAAUUACCAUAAUUUCAAGUUAGACUUACGAUAGCAAAUGCAUUUCUUCCUUUUAAAAUGAAAAACAAAAUGUUAUUUUUUUUUUUAAAAAAAGUAAAAAAUAAAAUUGAUCUCCGAAGAUAUAUUACAAUUCUAUGUUAUAUAUUCUUUUGAAUGAUGUAAGGUGGUGUUUGUUUUUUUAAUUUUUUGUUGAAAAUAAGUUGCUUUCUGAUUUUAGAUUAUUUAUUUAUUUUAUUUUUUAUUGAUUUAUUACUUAUUUUGGAAAACAAAUUCAUAAAUAAAAAAUAUUUAAUUUUUUCUAAAUAUUAAAAGGAAAACAUUGAUUUUUCUUUACUUAUUAAUACUUAAUAAAAAUAAAAUAUUAAAAAAAAAUUAAUUCUUAAUACGAUUAAAUACUAUUUAAUUUUAACCGCUAAAUGUUCAAAGAAUAUAUAUAUAAUUUUUUUUUUCCAUGAAGAUUUCUAUACUCCAAGCCACACAAGCACAAGUAAAGAAACCCCACAAUUUUAUUUUAUUUUAAAAAGAGAAUUCCAAAUGUAGAAUUUAGAUACGAAUAAAUAAUGAAAAAUGGAAAGGUAAAUUUAAAAGGACGUUAGCUCUAUCUCUCUCUAUAUUGAGGCUCCUUCCUCCUUUGAGUGUGCCUCCUUCACACCACCACCACCACCUUUGUGCGGAGCUCAAGACAGAUCACUGGUCUGCUGUCUCUUUCUCACCUUCUUUCUCAACACCUCUCCUCUCUUUUUCUUCUUUCUUCCAUUUGGUUUCUGUCUGCAACAUCUCUUCUUUCUUCCACGUUGUGUUUCUCUCUCCCUCUGCAUUAAUGGUGUUUUGGUAGGUUUUCAUUUCUGAUAUCUGUUUUUUUUUCCCCUUUCAAUACAAUUUGGUUUCUGGGUUCUUAACAUUUCUGCUUGAGUUUCAUAGUUUCGUUCUUUGAGAUGACUUAAAUACUAUUCAUUCUCCUGUUUUAUCAAUUUAUUUCCCUAUGUUUAAAUCUUCCUCUGUUUCUUCUUUAGCUCUUUCCUUAUGGGUUGUUGUUUUUUUUGUCCUUUCUUCUUUCAUUUAAUGUACCAUGGACUCCAUAAUAAAGACAGUCUGUUUUAUUCCAAUUUCUUGGACCUGUCCAAUUCAUGAUUUCUGUUUGUAUAUUGUGGUGGAUCAGAUGUUGCUUUUCUGCUGCUUCUAAGAGGUAGAGAUGAGAGGAGCAAUGGGUUCAACGCAGAGCCCAAUUGAGGCUAGACAACGGCUAUCUGUAUCUAUGUAAGUUUCUCACCGUCUACCAAUGGGCUUGAAUCCAUUAUAAUCAGAAAUAUGGUUUCUUCUUUCAGUUACUAUCCAUAACUUCACCCUUCAAUUAAAACCAAGAUAACAUUUGGAAGUAGAUCUUCAAAAUUUGCCUCCAGGAAUCCUCUAUUUCUGUCAAGUUUAGAUUGCAUUAUCAUGCAGCAGUUUCUUUAUGGGUUUGGGAUGGGUAAAUUUCACUCACAUUCCUUGGGUUUUGAGAUCACGUGAGUUUGAAAUUUCAUAAAAUGCCUCUCUUAUUUUAAAUCAAAUAGGAGAUAAAUGAAAAUAAAAAGAAAGAUAUUUGAUAAAAUUUUAACCAAACGAUCACUAAGAGUCCAUUUGAUAGUGAUUUUAGGAGGCGUUUUUAACAUUUGAAAAAUUUUAUUAUUCAAGUGUUAAAAAUAUUAAAAACGUUUUUUAAAAUCAUUAUCAAACACACCCUAAAUGUAUUUAGUCCAAAUACUUCACCAGAAGUGAAUGAAGUUGGGAUUAGUCAUAUUUUUUUUUUAUUAUUUAAAAUAUAAAAUUGUUGUUCUAUUUUUGUUGUCCUUUGAGUGAUUUGUCAUUGAUUUGAUUAUUAGAUAUUACAUCAUGAUGUCAACUUGCUUUGGGUUGUUGUGAUUCCAACGUUUGGACCUUAAGCUUAUGGUUCCAAAGUGAUGUUUUUGUCGUCUACUUCUAUUGCUUCAAAAGUAGGCAUCUUCAAAUCUCUAAUUUUCUUCCUUUUGUGGUUGUAUUAUCCAUUAAUCUUCUCCUUAAAGCACAGAUCAAAGCUCUGAACAAAGAUGAUCCACUCAUGGUAGAAACAAAAAUAUUUUCUUAUGUUGAAUUGAAGAAGUGGCAUGAGAGAUUGCUUCUUGUUUGCAAAGAUGUGAUAAAUGGAGCCUAAACUUGUUCUCUUUGCCUUGGUCAAUUACCAUAUUUUAGGGGACCUGGAAAAGACAUCUUAGAAGAUGAGAUGCUUUCUUUCGAAUUUAGUCAUGUUUUUGGUGUUUAUAACAGGUGGUUUGUUGGCUAAGAGCUGUCUCUCUUAGUAGAUUUCAGUCAAGUCUCACCCAAAUUUAUUGUUGAGAUUCAUCAUCCUGUUCCUGGAUCUUUUCUUGAAAGCUACAUGUAGAGUAUCAAGGAAGUAAUGAUCAGCUAAAGAAGAUUUGUAACUGUCAACUGUAGCCUCAAAAAUGUUUCAAUGAAGACAAUAAGCAUAUGGCAUUUGAAAAUGGUGCCUUCAUUCCAUCCAUAUGAAAAAAGAAUUCAGGCAUGGCCUUUUGUUAACCUCAUGCAUAUAUUAACAAGGCCACUGAAAUGAAUGGUUCUUCUACUAGUUGCACAUUUUUAUCGAUCUUCUACUGAUCUCCUGCAUGAUUGAGAAACGUGACAUUACUUAGAAUAUAAGUUCCAAAUCAAAAUAUGCAGCAAUAUUUGUGAAUGGGCUUGUUCUCCUAAUCCAGAUGUUGACAUUUAUACCUGUUCCUACACUUCUAUGUGCAUAAACACAGUUCCCAGUUAGAAUUAGACACGGAAAUUAAAACUAGGAAUUGUUUGCUAUUUCGUAGGCAUUUUUCUGUUACGCCAGCAAUUUUCGCCGCUAACAGUUGGCUUGGUGAUCUUCUUACCCUUUGCUUGUCUUGUGUCUCCAUUAAUGUCUACUAAUUUUUUCUUGAACACCUACUUGAAUCAGUGAAGAUACAUACAAAAGAAGGUCACAGAGGAGUAAAGUUAAAGAUGAGAAGCCCUUUCACAUCCCCAUACAAGACAGGAGCACAAAAUGCAAGUUUCCUGCAUUGAAGCUGGUACUAGUUAUAAUUGUAUGUGGCACUUUUAUUACACUCUUCUACUCUCCAGCUGUUUGUAAUGACCAUAUAUCACACGCUAACUCCCGGUAGGUGUUUAUUCCCCUUCUGCUCGUGCUUUGUUUUUGAAUAAUUUUAUGGGAAUUUGUUAUUUUGUUGCUUUGGUUUACCUUUUAAAUGGGAAAAUUGUUCUUUUGCAUGCCAAACCAGUAUUGUUUAAUGGAAUGCAGGCCAAGUUUUGUUAACAGGUGGAUAUGGGGUGGUUCAGAUCCACGGUAUAUAUCGGAUUUAGAUGUUAAUUGGGAUGAUAUCUCAAAAGUCAUUGAUCAGCUUGUUGACAUGAAUCAAUAUCAGGGAAUUGGUCUUCUAAACUUCAAUAAGACUGAAGUCAAUAAUUGGAAGCAGCUUAUUCCCCAAACAAGUCACAUUGUUCUGCACCUGGACUACGCUGAAAAAAAUGUGACCUGGGAUACCUUAUAUCCGGAGUGGAUUGAUGAGGAAGAAGAAGAUGAAGUCCCCAUUUGCCCAUUGCUGCCAAAGCUUGAAGCCCCGAAAAAACGGCUUGAUCUUAUUGCUGUGAAGCUCCCCUGCCGGAAUGAAGGAAACUGGUCCAGAGACAUUGCUCGGUUGCACUUGCAGCUGGCGGCAGCACAGCUUGCAGCCUCUGUCAAAGGCAAUUACCCUGUGCAUUUGCUGUUUAUUACCAGCUGUUUUCCAAUACCAAACUUGUUUACUUGCAAGGAACUUGCUGCCCGUGAAGGGAAUACAUGGUUGUACAAACCAAAUUUGAAUGUACUGAGGGAAAAGGUCCAACUCCCAGUUGGGUCAUGCGAACUUGCAGUUCCACUCAAGGUCAAAGGUCAGUUAUAAUCCCAUAACUUCAAUCCCUUUGAGCAUUAUAAGCUUGAAAAUUUUCUUCCAAUGUAUGCAAAUGGAGUUGAUAGAUACUCAUCUAUAGAGUUCUGGUUUCUCCUUCAUGCUCCUUAAAAUUAUAACUCAACUUCAUUUUUUGCUCUAUAAAAGUUACUAAUACUAAUGUCUAUGAUCUCUUGAAUCAGAGCGGGUUUACUCUGGAGAUGUUCGUAGAGAAGCAUAUGCAACAAUCCUGCAUUCUGCUCAUGUCUAUGUGUGUGGAGCUAUAGCAGCAGCCCAAAGUAUUCGUUUGGCAGGGUCCACCCGAGACCUUGUGAUACUUGUCGAUGAGACAAUCAGUGAUUACCACAGAAGUGGACUUGAGGCAGCUGGGUGGAAAAUCAGGACAAUCCAAAGGAUCAGGAACCCAAAAGCUGAAAAGGAUGCUUACAAUGAAUGGAACUACAGCAAGUUCCGCUUAUGGCAGCUGACAGACUAUGAUAAGAUCAUUUUUAUUGAUGCAGAUUUGCUUGUGCUGAGGAAUAUUGAUUUCUUGUUUGGGAUGCCAGAAAUCUCUGCAACAGGAAACAAUGGCUCUCUAUUCAACUCUGGUGUAAUGGUGGUUGAGCCAUCAAACUGCACAUUCCAGCUUUUGAUGGAUCACAUCAAUGAGAUUGAGUCCUACAAUGGUGGAGACCAGGGGUACCUGAAUGAAAUCUUCACAUGGUGGCAUAGGAUUCCAAGACACAUGAAUUUCUUGAAGCAUUUCUGGAUUGGUGAUGAGGAAGAGAAGAAACAAAUGAAAACUCAUCUUUUUGGAGCUGAGCCUCCAAUUCUUUAUGUCCUUCACUAUCUGGGUUUAAAGCCAUGGCUGUGCUACAGGGACUAUGAUUGUAACUGGAAUUCGGACAUAUUUCAAGAGUUUGCAAGUGAUGUUGCUCACACUAGGUGGUGGAGAGUGCAUGAUGCAAUGCCAGAACAACUGCAGCAGUUUUGCAUGUUGGGCUCUAAGCAAAAGGCAGGAUUAGAAUGGGACAGGAGGCAGGCUGAGAAAGCAAACUACAGUGAUGGACAUUGGAGAAUCAAAAUAAACGAUCGUCGUUUACACAAGUGUAUUGACAACUUAUGCUCCUGGAAGGGCAUGUUACGGCACUGGGGCGAGACAAAUUGGACAGACGAUGAAAUUUUCACUCCAACACCACCUGCAAUCACCAUGGCAUCUCUUUCUGGCUAGUGAGUUGCAUUUUUCCUUUUCUCACCAUAUUUACUUUUGUAAAUGACACGAGUUCUGGAAAAUGGAUUCAUUUUUUGUUGUUGUUGUUAUCUUAUUCAUACGCAUAAAUAUGUCUUAGACCCGAUUCUGAGAACUGGGGAUAGUAGUUUUCAUCACCUUAGAUGCUUCUGAGGCUGAUUCAUUUACGGCUUUGUAUCAGAGUUGAGAGUCAUCUUAUAAAAGAAAACUCUUCUUUCCAUUUCUACUUGUAGCCAUGGAACUACAUGUGCCUAAGUACUCUAUAAUGGGAGUCCCACUAUGACUUUAUGGAUAAAUGUGGAAGUUGGAUGUAGUGGGCAUUGAAACGCUAGCCAUCAAUGACUGUAAGCCACAAUGUUCAGACAAUACUUAGACGACAAACAAACAAAUAAAUGAAUAUGACAGAUAAACUUGAAGAGCAAAGUGGGUAAGAGCACUAUGAUGGAAGUGGAUACCAUGUGAUUUGCCACUAUGAUGUUCUGGCAUAGGAUUUGGUUUCUAGAAUUUUUUAUGUGAAGCUGUGGUAUCUCAUAUGGUUCAGGGAAGAAGUUACUAGUAUUAUAUUUAUGUAGUAGACUUUUUUAACUGUAUUAAUUUUGAGGGUCUAUUGAAUCCAAAAGAUAAUAUCUAUAUAGGAUGGAGUGGGUCAUUAUACAAUUGUAUCAAAACCAAUUCUCGACCUCAAUGUUGGACUGCCCUGAUGUUGGACUGCCCUCAUAAUCCAAUGGGACACAACAAAAACAUUGUACUUGAAGGAGUUCUUAACACUAUUCCUAGAAGACUUCUCUUGAUUGUACAAACAUUUUUUAAAGUUGUGAGGCUUAUUGAGUCUAAAGUAAACAAUAUUUACACAGGACAGAGUGGUCCUUAAGAAAGAACUUUCAAGAAAUCUAGACAAAAUACAGUGUAAGAAGAAUGAUCUUCUCUUGCUAGAAUACAAGCUUUAGACAUUUGAUCAGUGUUCUGUAUCAGGCAAUUGUAUCUAGGAAGAGAAAACCACUGCAACUAGGCUCCAAGAAUAAGAAAGUCGGGGAACAUCUGAACAAAAAAAGGCCUUGUACAUCAAAAUCAAAUUUGACAUUUACUGCCUCGUGACAGCCAGAGACAGAGAGGCCUAAUCUUCUUUUACUCGCAUAGCCUCAUGUGAAAGUGAGAAUUAUAUCGUUGAAUAAAGUAUGACAAUGUCUUUGGCCUUUUCUAAGCACAAUCAUAUAGCAGUAAAAGCCAAAGUUGCCCUUCAGCAACACAACCUUAGAUGGCCCCUUGAGGGGCAGUGUAUGUGAACUGGCAAAAUGCCUGAACCAUUCAUCUCGAACAGAGGCACCCUGUAACACUUUGAAGGUCACCUCCUUUCCAACUCGCUCUACAAGUCUUCAAGGACAAAGUCAAGAGAUAAUGAUACUUUUGAGUCUAUGGAAAUCUGUCACCACAUGACCCGCUCAAAUUAUGCAACUCCCCUGUUUUCCACACAAGCAUAGUAUUAUGUCCGCCAAAGUCAUUGGCAAAGUCGCCAUUCCCCUUUGAUAAUAUGGCUGUAAGUUUGCUGAGUGAAAGUGAUUUUUUCAUGGCUUAAGUUUUGGUCACAAUUUCUUGGGAGAAAAGCAUAUACUGAGCUGUAUGAACGGCCAUUAAAGCAAAAACUUGUUGCUUCAACAGUGACUGUGCCACACAUUCAACCAAACCUUGUAUGGAGACCGUUAUGGCAAGGGACUAAGUAUCGCUACACCAUAGAUUUCAAAGUGAUGAAGAAAAGUAGAACUUUUUAACAUGAAGUCUCAAUGAUAAAGCAUGUGAAAAUCAUUUCUUCUGCAAAAAUUUUCACUUAAAAAGCGUCCCAAAGGACAUAGAUGUGGAAACAUGACUGCUACAUGAACCAGUGUAUACAUACCGUAAUGUUCAACUUCAGACGUCAAAAAUAAUUGAGUCACAGUCAUGGUGUGGGAAUGAAAUGGACUAUAUCCACUCUGUUUAAGCAAGACAAGCCUUAUUCAUUAAAAAAUGCAUGUUAUCACUUGGAAGGGAAGUAAAACCCUAGAAGGAAGAAAAGAUAUACGUGGCAGAAACUUUGAAAUUUCUCUCCUCUAUUAAUAGUUUGAGUACAACAUGGACUAAAAGCUUCUAUCACUAUGAAGGGAUCUAAACCUCCCUCUCAGAUAAUCUAUUUCUACAAAUGUAGCCGAUGUUACUAAUCAAGAAGUUGUAGGAAUCCACCCAUUACCUUGAAUGAAAUUCUGUACUGAAUACGUGUUUAAGUGCUGAGCAGGAAUCUGGCUACUCCAUGUUACUCUUGCAGACAAACUAGCUCCCAAUCCAGAAUUGUUGAAUUCCCCAUAAUAAAGUGUUUUUAAUGCAAAGUCACCACUCCAUGGCAGCCACCCUUGUGGUGUGACAAGAGGCUCCAAGAAGCACCGGAUAAAAACAGUCCUUGAAAACUCCUUCCAUGGCCUCCCCAAGAAGUUCUUGUGUACUUUAGGGUUGCUGUAGUACAACUUCAUGUAGUCGUCGGUGCCAUUGACCACACAAUUUUGGAAAACAAAGCCUGUGGUUUGGGCAGGGUCUGUUCUACCAUGUGCUGUCACAGCGUUGUUCUCCCCUUUUUCUGGUUUGAGUUGCCUGGGGCGGAUUAGGAUGAGGCAGUCUUGGAAGAUUGAAGCGGAGUUGCCAAAGAUGAAGUCCACGUUGCCUUGGAUGUUGCAUGAUUUGUAGAACUGGCGAAGGGAGUGAGCGUAGAGAGUGUCUUGAUUGCCUAAGAAUUCACAGUUCUCAAUCACUGAUAAAUCGCUACCUGAUCUGAAAGCUACAGCUUGGUGGGCAUCAGGACCGGCUGUGUUUUGGAAUGUGAGACCACUGGCCAUGAACCCAUCACCACUCACACCUGUGCCAUGAUCAAACACCAUUCGAUUGAUCAAUAGGACCAACAACGCCUUAGGAGUUAGGAGCAAGGAAACAAAGAAAACAGCGUGCAUGUUGGCUCACGUGUCAGCACCAUAGUGUGGGUCCUACUCGUGAAUUCCCAUACGUAAGUUUCAAACCAACUAACGUCCUAUCAUUCAGCACAAUUUUAAUAAUAACUAAAAUAACCUAUUACUAUGAAUAAUAAAUAAAUAUCAUACGCUUUCUGCGACAUAUAGUGUUCCUACUUCUACAUUUGAUUACUGCCUACCCUACGUGGCUAGAUGCCAUUGGCUAAAAUCAGAAAAGACCAUCGGAAAUUCAAGUAGUCGAUUAAUAUCACCCAAACAACUUACGACUUACCGACAGUGGCUGUGUUGUAGGUGGAAAUUCCAGGCUGGCCCACAUUCAACGAUCCCGUAAUUACCGUUUUACCCAUCCCAUCUCCCAAAAACACCACGUUCUUUUUUUCCAACGGCACCCGAACCGUCUCCUCAUAGACCCCUUCUCGAAUCCGAAUCACGAACUUCCGGUCACCGGCGUUAGCCGGCGCGGCGUCCACCGCUUCCUGCACCGUCUUGUAGCACCCGUUUCCGUCCUUGCACACGGUGGCGUCCGGCGGAAGACCAGUCGGAACUCCACCUUUGACCCCCAAUCCGGAUUCUUCGCCCAACCCGGAAGGCUCCCAGAAGCCGUCUCGCUCCGUUUUGGGGGGCCUCCAGGACCCGAUGUCGUUCCCGAAAAUAUCGUAAGAUGCCAUCAUGCUUAGACCGUUGCUGCUCAGCCCAAGAAGGGAGUCUAAAAACGACAUCGUUUUGUUCACCUGUUGAGUGUCGUUGGCGUACUUCAAAGCCGACCAGCAAUCGUACUGGUAUAGUAGAGCCGCGCUCACCCAGGCCCUCGCGUCCUUGAUCUUCCCAUGUGGCAGAGCCUCCAUCGUCGAUGAGAUCCGGUACUCGGAGUUAUGCAACACCUCCAGGCAGUUCUUCGCCGCCGUCGUCCGAUUCAGGUUCCGUGCGGAUGCGUCCAGGAUGUCCUUUACCAUGGACUGCGCCGUCUUGAGAUUCUCCAAGGAGACCCAUAAGGCUGAUUGGAUGACAUCGAUGGGCUUGGGAUCGGGAGGGACCCGAUCGGAAGCGAUCAGAGAGGCCUCGCAGGUUUCUGGGUAACGCGUAGCGGCGCAGGCCUGGUGGAUCUGGGGAGGAACAGAGGCGGUGGAGGGCUGGGGGGUGAUGGGUUGGGGGAAAUGCGGGAGGGAGUGGCGAGGGCUAUGGUGGUGAGAGGCGGAGGAGAGGGAGAAGAAGAGGAAGAGGGAGAGAAGAGCGAGAAGGAAGAGAGAAGCCAUGGAGAGGAUAAGGAAUUUAGAGAAGGAGUGGGGCUUUAUAGGCUUUCUGGAGUGCAUGAUGAUAGUGGAAAUGGGGUUUGGAUUGUAGCGAAUAUUAGAGAAGAAGAGACUAGGAGGAAUGGAAGUCACGGGUGGCUUCUCACGGGUGUGAAGAUAGAAAUCGGUGAUUCUGUUAUUGGCAGCAUUGACUAGGCGUGGAAUGUAAAGCAGAUAAAACCAAGCCACUUACCACUAGGUCUGUAUUUUGGGUUGUGCCUCAUACCUGCACCACCUACCUCCCUCCCUCCCUCCCUCCCUCCCUCCCUCCCUCUCCCUGACUCAGAACUCACAAAGGGAAAGACCCAACAAUUAGGGGACAGAGGCUGUUUUCCAGAGAACCAUAAACCCGCCCUUUUAAUUGACUUUGUCAAUGCUUUCCCAUCUUUUCUCCUUUCAUCGCUUUCCAACUUAAUGCGCGUAUUUUGGUCAUUUUCAGGUAAAUCAGAGGCUCGUUCGAUCAUACUGUAACCACCAUAUGGAAGGCUUGGAGUCUACGCUACUUGGAUUUUAAUCUGAGUGAGUGAAGGCAAAAUGAAUAUGAGAAGAGAGCAAUUAAAAUUAAGAUAAUGCAAGUUGCAGCUAAUGUAAUUUGUCUAGGAAUUGGAAUGAAAUUGGCCGGUAUAGUUUGGAACAAGAACUAAACCACUACGGAAUCUUGGAUAUCUGAAGUUGUAGAGACAAUCAAGUGAGUCGGUGGCAUACAGUGGAAAGCACACUAAGGUAAGUGAUAUUGUAUUUAAUUGUAAUAUAAAUAAAAUAGUGUGAUUUGCUAUAUGCGUUAUAAGUAUUUUUUUUUUUUAAAAAAAAGAACACCAGCCUACUAGACUUACAACUCACUAGAAUAGAUGAAGAGAUAUGUUUGGUUACUAGGAAAAUAUAAGCAAAAGAAAAUAAAAAUUAAAAAUAAAAUGCCGAGGAAAGUGAAUAUAUAUAUAUAUAUAAAGUUAAUAAAUUAUUUAUUUGUUUUAAAUUUUUUUAUUAUAAGAAUUAAAUAAUUUAAAAACGUAUAAAUUUUUAAUCAGUUUUAAUUAUAUUUGAUUUUUUUUUUUUGCUAUUGUUUUUAUAAGAUCAUAUGAGAAAAUAAUUUUUUAAAUAUUUUUUUAGUACUUUCUAAGAAUCAAUCACGGUGAAUGAGUUUAGAGAGAGAAAUGUUCAUUAUCAGUGGAGUUUCUUGAAUAAUAAAAGUUGCUCCUCAAAACCAAAGUAGGUAUCAAAAGUAAGACCAAGAUAAAUACAGAGUCUUGUUUGUUGGAUUGACUUUUGAAAAAUCAAAAACUCUUUUUCAAACUUGAUAAAACUUUUAUGCUUUUUUGACUAAUUUUGUUGAAAAAUAUAUGCUUUGAAAAAAACUUAAUAUAAAAACCUAGAAAAUAUUGCUUCUUAUAAAAAUUCUAUUUUGAAGUAUUUGAGAAUAUGACCUUUUUUUUCUUUGAAUGUUAAAAAAAAACAAUUGAAGAAAUUAAAGUCUCUUUUGCUUUGGAUUUGGAGUCAUAUUUAGGUGGUAUUUGUUUUUUGAUUGAAUAGAAAAAUCUAAAAUAUUUGAUUUUUUUUAUUCAACUAAAAAUAGUCUGUUGACAUCAUCUAACAUAACUAAAAUAAAUUGGUUAUCAAUAAGUUCAGUUUAAUUAUAUUGAUUGAUAUCAACAAGUUACUUUUAACUGAAUAAAGAAACUAAAAUAUUUUAACUUUUUCUAUUCAGUCAAAAAACAAACGUCAUCUUCCUGUUUUACUUUUUGAUGACUCCAAGGCCAUAUUUUGGAAUUCCUUCUCUAGCCUUUUUGCUAGCACAAUGUUAAAUUGAAGAAGGGAGGUCGAUUAAGCUGACUUUAAUUGUUACGGCAAGUUUAGUGACCCAAGCAAUGAUAGGAGAGUCUUCAUCUUCGAUUUCAACUGCUACUACAAUUCGUAGCAAAUCCAUUGAAUCAACUAAUUAUAGUAAAAUUGAAGGAAAAUAAUUUUUCUUAUGGAAGCAUCAAGUAGGUUGUAGGAUUAAGGGUUAUAAAAGGGAAGGUUUCAUUUUUUGAGACUCGAUUUGAUGAAUUCAACCUUUAAUAUUGCCCCAUCAAAGUCAGGAUCAACUUCUGAUGUCUUGGCUUUUUGCUUGCAUGAGUCUUGGUUUUCUCCUACAACUUGUCAGUUUUGAUACUGUUGAGGAUGUUUGGAGCAUUUUAUUUAUUCGAAUAAAUAAUGUAGCAAUCACUCUUUAGAAUUUGUGUUUUAUUAUGAUAAUUCAAUUUCUUACUGGUUUGAACUAUGACAUAAGAGGCUAGGUCACCCAGCACCAAAAUUUGUUACUAGAGUUUUCUCACAUUAUAAAAUACAAUUUCCCUUGUAAAAGAGAAAACAUGGACAAUGCUAGAACUUGGACUUACCUUGCUUACUUAGGCAUCAAUGCCACUCACACUAGAAGAUGGCUACAUCCCUUAGCUACGGCCGCAUGUAGUAGCUAGUGUGACUUGAUGAUCUAAAGUUGUGGCCACUAUCGCAUUCUUUUCACGACUAAAGGCUUUGUAUGUUUGCGACUAAUCAUAACAGCAACCAUAAGCGUGUAGAAAUAGAAAUGCUAACAGCAUAGUGUUAGACAUGUGCUACGGCCAGUGGAUGGCUGCCACUAUAGGUUGUGAUGUGGACACAGUCACGCUUGAUCAUGACUAUAAGGUCAUUUAUAUAUAUAUGAAUAAAUCAAAGCAAUUACAAAGCAUUCGUUCAUCUGUUUUUACAUUUAUAAUCAAAAUACCCUAUUUAGAGUUGUUACAAAUGAUCGAAUUAGUCAUAAAUGAAUCCCUAUUGAGCUCACAUUGUCAAAAUCAGUUGGUAUUUGUUGGCAAAGAAGCAAGUUUGAGAUUCAUGAAUCAUUCAAACAUCUACAUUGAACAAGAAGAUUCAUGAAAGUGUUGUCAUUAGAGAAAUUCAAAAUUGAUUUAAUAACUUCAUGCUAUUCAUAAAUCAUUAACAUAGUAUCGUGUCUGCGAGUCAAAGUCAUUAGCAAAGUCGCCAUUCCCCUUUGAUAGCGUGGCCGUAAGUUUGUUGAGUGAAAGCGAUUUUUUCAUGACUUUAAGUUUUGGUCACAAUUUAUUGGGAGAAAAGCAUAUACUGAUCAGCUGUAUGAAUGGCCAUUAAAGCAAAAACAUGUUGCUUCAACAGUGACUGUGCCACACAUUCAACCAAACCAUGUAUGGAGACCGUAAUGGCAGGCUACUAAGAAUCGCUACAUCAUAGAUUUCAAAGUAAUGAAGAAAAGUAGAACUUUAUAACAUAAAGUCCAAAUGAUAAAGCAUGCUACAAAUUUUUUCAACUUGAAAAGCGUCCUAAAGGACAUAGAUGUGGAAACGUGACUGCUACAUGAACCAGUGUAUACAUAUCAUACUGUUCAACUUCAGAUAUAAAAAAUAAUUGAGUCAUGGUCAUGGUGUGGGAAUGAAAUGGACUAUAUCCACUCUGUUUAAGCAAGACAAGUAUUAUUCAUUAAAAAAUGCAUGUUAACACUUGGAAGGGAAGUAAAACCCUAAAAGGAAGAAAAGAUAUACGUGGCAGAAACUUUGAAAUUUCUCUCCUCUAUUAAUAGUUUGAGUACAACAUGGACUAAAAGCUUCUAUCUCUGUGAAGGGAUCUAAACCUCCCUCUCAGAUGAAUCUAUUUCUACAAAUGUGGCCGGUGUUACUAAUCAAGAAGUUGUAGGAAUCCACUCAUUACCUUGAAUGAAAUUCUGUACCGAGUACAUGUUUAUGUGCUGAGCAGGAAUCUGGCUACUCCAUGUUACUCUUGCAGACAAAUUAGCUCCCAAUCCAGAAUUGUUGAAUUCCCCAUAAUAAAGUGUUUCUAAUGCAAAGUCACCACUCCAUGGCAGCCACCCUUGUGGUGUCACAAGAGCCUCCAACAAACACUGGAUAAAAACAGUCCUUGAAAACUCCUUCCAUGGCCUCCCCAAGAAGUUCUUGUGUACUUUAGGGUUGCUGUAGUACAACUUCAUGUAGUCGUCGGUGCCAUUGACCACACAAUUUUGGAAAACAAAGCCUGUGGUUUGGGCAGGGUCUGUUCGACUAUGUGCUGUUACAGCGUUGUUCUCCCCGUUUUCUGGGUUGAGUUGCCUGGGGCGGAUUAGGAUGAGGCAGUCUUGGAAGAUUGAAGCGGAGUUGCCAAAGAUGAAGUCCACGUUGCCUUGGAUGUUGCAUGAUUUGUAGAACUGGCGAAGGGAUUCAGCGUAGAGAGUGUCUUGAUUGCCUAAGAAUUCACAGUUCUCAAUCACUGAUAAAUCGCUACCUGAUCUGAAAGCUACAGCUUGGUGGGCGUCAGGACCGGCUGUGUUUUGGAAUGUGAGACCACUAGCCAUGAACCCAUCACCACUUACACCUGUGCCAUGAUCAACAGUUAAUCAAUAUGACCCACAACGCCUUAGGAGUUAGGAGCAAGGAAACAAAGAAAACAGCGUGCAUGUUGUCUCACGUGUCAGCACUAUAGUGUGGGUCCUACUCGUGAAUUCCCAUACGUAAGUUUCAAACCAACUAACGUCCUAUAAUUUCAGACCCUUCAGGAUUUUAAUAAUAAAAUAACCUAUUACUAUGUAAUAAUAAUUAAAUAUCACACGCUUUCUCUAUCAUAGUUGGGCUAAAAUAUAGUGUUCCUACUUCUACAUUUGAUUAAUGGAUACCAUACGUGUCCAGAUUUCAUUGGCUCAAAUCAGAAAAGACUCAACUUCGGAAAUUCAAGCAGUCACCGUCCAAUUAAUAUCACACAAACAACUUACGACUUACCGACAGUCGCUGUGUUGUAGGUGGAAAUUCCAGGCUGGCCCACAUUCAACGAUCCCGUAAUUACCGUUUUACCCAUCCCAUCUCCCAAAAACACCACGUUCUUUUUUUCCAACGGCACCCGAACCGUCUCCUCAUAGACCCCUUCUCGGAUCCGAAUCACGAACUUUCGAUCUCCGGCUUUAGCCGGCGCGGCGUCCACCGCUUCCUGCACCGUCUUGUAGCACCCGUUGCCGCCCUUGCACACCAUGGCGUCUGGUCGAAGACCAGUCGGAACUCCGCCUUUGAACCCUAAUCCGGAUCCUUCGCUCGACCCGGAAGGCUCCCAGAAGCCGUCCCGCUCUGUUUUGGGGGGCCUCCAGGACCCGAUGUCGUUCCCGAAAAUAUCGUAAGAUGCCAUCAUGCUUAGACCGUUGCUGCUUAGCCCAAGGAGGGAAUCUAAAAACGAUAUCGUUUUGUUCACCUGUUGAGUGUCGUUGACGAACGUCAACGCUGACCAGCAAGCGUACUGGUAUAGUAGAGCCGCGCUCAUCCAGGUCCUCGCGUCCUUGAUCUUCCCAUGUGGCAGAGCCUCCAUUGUCGAUAAGAUCCGGUACUCGGAGUUAUGCAACACCUCCAGGCAGUUCUUCGCCGCCGUCGUCCGAUUCUGGUUCCCUGCGGAUGCGUCCAGGAUGUCCUUCACCAUGGACUGCGCCGUCUUGAGAUUCUCCAAGGAGACCCAUAAGGCUGAUAGGAUGACAUCGAUGGGCUUGGGGUCGGGAGGGACCCGAUUGGAUGCGAUCAGAGAGGCGUCGCAGGUUUCUGGGUAACGCGUAGCGGCGCAGGCCUGGUGGAUCUGGGGAGGAACAGAGGCGGUGGAGGGCCUGGGGGUGAUGGGUUGGGGGAAAUGCGGGGGGGAGUGGCGAGGGCUAUGGUGGUGAGAGGCGGAGGAGAGGGAGAAGAAGAGGAGGAAGGAGAGAAGAGCGAGAAGGAGGAUAGAAGCCACGGAGAGGAUAAGGACUUUAGAGGAGUGGGGUUUUAUAGGGUUUCUGAAGUGCAUGAUGAUAGUGGAAAUGGGGUUUGGAUUGUAGAGAAUAUUAGAGAAGAAGAGAUUGGGAGGAAUGGAAGUCACGGGUGGCCUCUCACGGUUGUUAAGAUAGCAGUGGUUGAUUCUGUGGUUGGUAGCAUUAAUUGGGCGUGGAAUGUAAAGCAGGUAAAGCCAAGCCACUUACCACCAGGUC